RNAcentral lists this ribosomal RNA (468 nucleotides) under uncultured bacterium. RNAcentral's name for it is "partial 16S ribosomal RNA". It matches the Rfam family "Bacterial small subunit ribosomal RNA", at positions 28 to 507 of the family's 1533-position model. The record is from RNAcentral.
GACGAACGCUGGCGGCGUGCUUAACACAUGCAAGUCGAACGGAAAGGCCCUGCUUUUGUGGGGUGCUCGAGUGGCGAACGGGUGAGUAACACGUGAGUAACCUGCCCUUGACUUUGGGAUAACUUCAGGAAACUGGGGCUAAUACCGGAUAGGAGCUCCUGCUGCAUGGUGGGGGUUGGAAAGUUUCGGCGGUUGGGGAUGGACUCGCGGCUUAUCAGCUUGUUGGUGGGGUAGUGGCUUACCAAGGCUUUGACGGGUAGCCGGCCUGAGAGGGUGACCGGCCACAUUGGGACUGGGAUACGGCCCAGACUCCUACGGGAGGCAGCGGUGGGAAAUAUUGCACAAUGGGCGGAAGCCUGAUGCAGCACCGCCGCGUGCGGGAUGACGGCCUUCGGGUUGUAAACCGCUUUCGCCUGUGACGAAGCGUGAGUGACGGUAAUGGGUAAAGAAGCACCGGCUAACUACGUG